This 484-nucleotide ribosomal RNA is filed under the name uncultured bacterium. RNAcentral describes it as "partial 16S ribosomal RNA". It matches the Rfam family "Bacterial small subunit ribosomal RNA", at positions 30 to 507 of the family's 1533-position model. The record is from RNAcentral.
AUUGAACGCUGGCGGCAGGCCUAACACAUGCAAGUCGAGCGGAAGAAGGGGGCUUGCUCCUGGAUUCAGGGGCGGACGGGUGAGUAAUGGCUAGGAAUCUCGCUGGUAGUGGGGGCUAACGUCCGGAAAAGGGCGCUAAUACCGCAUACGUCCUGAGGUAGAAAGGGGGGGAGCUUCGGAUCUUAGGCUAUCAGAUGAUCCUAGGUCGGAUUAGCUAGUUGGUGGGGUAAAGGGCUACCAAGGCGACGAUCCGUAACUGGUCUGAGAGGAUGAUCGGGCACACUGGAACUGAGACACGGUCCAGACUCCUACGGGAGGCAGCAGUGGGGAAUAUUGGACAAUGGGCGAAAGCCUGAUCCAGCCAUGCCGCGUGUGUGAAGAAGGUCUUCGGAUUGUAAAGCACUUUUAGUUGGGAGGAAGGGCAGUAAGUUAAUACCUUGCUGUUUUGACGGUACCAACAGAAUAAGCACCGGCUAACUUCGUG